Long non-coding RNA from Zonotrichia leucophrys gambelii, 960 nucleotides. RefSeq lists it as uncharacterized. NCBI's taxonomy places the organism in Eukaryota, Metazoa, Chordata, Aves, Passeriformes, Passerellidae. The transcript is spliced from 4 exons. The record is from RefSeq and is a predicted model, not a curated record.
CUGAGGCGGUUUGGUGUUACUCUGUAUGGACAAAUACCCAAAGCCUUCUGAUGAGCAAAUUGAUGAACAGGAGAAAAAUCCAGAGAAUUAGCCUGACCAAGAUGAUCUGUAGAUGAUGCAGAAGAAGAGCAGCUGUGUUGUAAACUGUGUAACACCUGGGCAGAUUCUACCAAAACCAAGCAGGACUGACCACCUAAUGCCCUAGAAAGUGCAAGGCAAACAGAAUGCUCAGCUGCUCAGGGCUCUAGCUGGGAGAGAGGAAUGCUCUUGUUGUACACUUAGGCUAUUCAAGUCAAUGAAAAGGCAUUUAUUACCCUUAGAAGCCUUCUGUGAGUUACAUUGUAAUGAUCUCUCAACCUUGGUACGGCAUGAUGAGUAAAGCUGCUCAGGCAAAGGCAGUGAAAACCAGUGUUAAAACUCUGUGGUGGCAGCACCAAAGGAAUAAAUAGAAAGUCAAUGAGGUGAGAAGUAAAUAUUUAUGGAUUUGAACUCUUGGCUUGUCUUGGUAGAAUUAAUUGGGCAAAUAUUGGUGCACAAUGAUCCACACAAAGUGCUGAAAUCAUGUCCUCCAUUAGGAACAAAGUAAAGCCACCCAGGGGUUUGGGUGGGUAAUCAGGGCUGUCAUCCCACCUUUGCUCCUUUCACCUCUGCCUGAGCAGCAACAUCCCCUGCAAUCCAACCCAGGGAUGUGGGUCAGUGCUGGUGUUUGCACUGGGUAUUCCCAGGGUGUUGUGCUGAAAUCCUGGUUUUCGGGGACACACCCAGAGCUGCCCAAGCUGCUCUCUGCUCUGCAGGCACUGCACACUUCUGUGCUCAGGGGGUUUUAUUGGCACUCCUUAGCCUAUAAACCAAUGUGUUUCCCUUUAUGGCACCAUGCUAGGAGGUUUUGCAAUAAUUUCUUGCUGUUUAUGAUUGUUUACACCUGGCAUCAUAUAUAUAUUUUUGUUGCUGAUAAUAAAA